UAUCUCUGUAGAGUCUGCAUAUCAAUAAGCGGAGGAAAAGAAACUAACAAGGAUUCCCUUAGUAACGGCGAGUGAAGCGGGAAGAGCUCAAAUUUGAAAUCUUCAAGGUUUUACCUUGACGAAUUGUAGUUUAAAGAAGUGUUUUCUGUUGAAGUUUCGGUAAAAGUUCUUUGGAAUAGGACAUCAUAGAGGGUGAGAAUCCCGUAUUUGACCGUUAUUUUCAGCUGUGUGAUACACUUUCAAAGAGUCGGAUUGUUUGGGAAUGCAGUCCAAAAUGGGUGGUAAAUUUCAUCUAAAGCUAAAUAUUGGCGAGAGACCGAUAGCGAACAAGUACCGUGAGGGAAAGAUGAAAAGAACUUUGAAAAGAGAGUUAAACAGUACGUGAAAUUGUCAAAAGGGAAGCGUUUGACACCAGUGUUGUUUUCUCGAAAAUCAAUUAAAAAUGGCUUGAUUUGUGUUGUAUUGACCUUAAAAGCUUUCUUCACUUUUUUCAUGUCUUUUUUAAUGCACUUUUCGUUUAACAAGUCAACAUCAGUUUCUUUUGUUGUAAAAAGGUCAUUGGAAGGUGGCUUUCUUUUCGGAGAAAGUGUUUAUAGCCUUUGACUUCUGCAAUCGGAGAGACUGAGGUCUGCAGCGUAGAUCCUUCUGGAUUAGAUUCAUUUGUGCUAAGUUACAACCGUUUAUAGACAACUUGUUGACUAUAUUCGAUCCUGUUAGCUUACUCGCUUAUGUAAUUUUACCUACGCUUAGGAUGUUGAAGAUGUAGCACAUCAU
This 774-nucleotide ribosomal RNA is filed under the name uncultured Neocallimastigales. RNAcentral's name for it is "partial large subunit ribosomal RNA". It matches the Rfam family "Eukaryotic large subunit ribosomal RNA", at positions 24 to 635 of the family's 3401-position model. The record is from RNAcentral. Lineage: Eukaryota; Fungi; Neocallimastigomycota; Neocallimastigomycetes; Neocallimastigales.